UUUUUUAUUAAAAUAUAAUAAAAGAAAAUAUAAAUAAUAAAUGUGCAAUAUAAAUGUUUAAAUAGAUUAAAAAUGUUUAGAAUAAAUAUUCGUAAAGGAUUAAUAUAUAGAGGUCAAUUUUGCAGAUCGAUGCAUAAGCCAAGUCACGAGCAUGUUAGUAACGAUGAGAUUAUGUCUCCCGCCAACGGACAAAUAGAAACGAUCGUAACACAAAAUAGGUUAAGAAAAAAUAUAAAAUAAUUAUUAGAAUAAUAUGGAAGGCUUCGAUGAUCGAUACUAUGUUAGCAAUAGAUAUCGAAAGCAUGAAUAAGAUCGAUAAAUAUAGAACAAUGACGAUAUAAAGAGAUACGUACGAAUAAAAUGAAUGGGAAUAAAUAACGAGGUAUAUUCAAAAAAAAAAAAUAGGCAACUAUUCUCACCUAUCAUCUUCUUCUGUUCCAACGUUUGAUGCUACAAUAGUUUGAACGUUGUUUUUGAAACUCUUCCUCGAAAGGAACAGCUUAUCAAGCAAAGGCAUCAUAAACGAACGAUCGUUUAUAGCUACCGCAUUGCUUGCUAACUUUGUUUCGUUUUCGGUCUAUCAUGUCACAAGGAACUGCACCAUACAUGUUCACGAGUAUCAGUCAACUGUAAAUAAAGUCACGUGCGGAAGAGUCAUAUGAUUGCCCGAGAUUACUAUGUCCCGUUCAGUCGACAUCGAAUGGAAUGUUUUCCGGCUCUUUUCUUUCUUUGCUGUCACUAUUUAUUUCACUUCUUACAGGCCAGGGAACCGGUUCAAUGAAAUGCUGAUAAAAAUAUCAAAAGCAUGAUAAGAAUAGGAAAAAAAACAAAUUCGUACAAUCGAAAUGAUUAUUGACUGCGCAUGAUAAUUUGAUUAUGAUAGAAGUUAUAGAAUGUACCGCAAGAGUGCAGUACUCAUCAAUAUAACGAUUUCGUUGCAAUCAUAUUUGAAUUUUUUUUAAAAUUUUAAAAGUUAUUAGACGAUAAAAUAUUUUCAAGACGAUAACAUAACAGUUUCAAAUGGUUAGAUCUCGGCGUACAGGAACAUCAAAAUCAAUAUUUCUACGCAUUUUAUUAGCCAAUAUAAGACGAUGAACAUAUUCUGUAUCCCUAAUAUCUUCUGAUGUAUCAAACGCUCGUUUAACAUAAUUUUUAUUUGAUACUGGCAUAUAUACCGGAUAUUCAAUGUUAAAGGUUAUAAUUAGAUCUCCUUUUCCUUUUGGAUUUUCUGGUAAUGGCAAUCCUUCUCCAAGAUUUGUUAUAUUAAACGUAAAAUAAUUAUUCAUAAUUAUAAACAAACAAAGAAGGAAAUAAAAUGGAUUGGAAAUGGAGAUGGUGGCACGUACGUGAUGACAGACGUUAGUGGUAUUCGAAGGGUUCUGUCGUCGAGGGUGUCGACGGUGACCACUGUUCCGGUCAGUGCCUCUCGCAGAAAGAUAUCGACCGUCAUGUGCAAGUCAGAGCCCUCUCUUCGGAAGGUCUCGUGAGGCCGGUCCUCCGUGAUGAAGAUUACAUCCGCUACGUUGACGUGCUUAGGACUGAGUAAAGAUAUUAUGCGAACCACUACGAUUAACCCAUUUCUGUCCAUCAUGAAAUGAUGCAUUUUAAAUACAUUCUUUAUGAAAUUCGAACCAAUAUAAGCAAAAAUGCUAUAAUAAAUUUUUGUAAAGAAAAAAAAAUGAAUUUGAUUCUAUUUCUAUUUACGUAUUAUAGAAGUACGUAAU
Molecule: long non-coding RNA, 1724 nt
Organism: Apis dorsata (giant honeybee)
Lineage: Eukaryota; Metazoa; Arthropoda; Insecta; Hymenoptera; Apidae
Exons: 4
Source: RefSeq, a predicted model, not a curated record